CAACAGAAUCAGUAUGCAAUCAAGCAUGGAAUGGAUUCCAGAUAGGAAUAUAGGAUUCACCUUACACUCAGAAACUGGGGGAUAGGCCUAGUUGUUCAAAAUACACGGCGUUGCUGCAUGGACUUGAAGAGAUAGUUAUGAAUUUAGAAUAUCAUCAAGUGACUUUUAAUAAGGCACUGUUUUCAGUGGAUGAACCGACAUCAUGCAGUGUGACAGGAAAACGCCCGUGAGACCAAAGAUGGCUUGGAUAAAAGGGAAGACAAUGCAGAAGGUGCAUAUAUACAAGUUCAAGACAUAGACAUUUUAAAUUUUGCAUGUUCAUUUACAAAACCUGUUAUGCAACCUCUCAAUUAAUUCAUUAUGCUAUCUUUUAAGCCUCUGUACCAGAGAAAAAUCCAGAGAUGGCCCCCAAAGAAGUUAGAAACAAGAUGAGAGACCAUCUCAAGUUGUUUAGGUCUGGAGCCACCUUCCCCCACCCACGAGUCGAAGAAAUAGAUCUUUGAACCACUCCAGGUUACCCGUGACAUCAAGAUAAACAAAAUUCAACUUCAGGGACAAAAAUUGAUAAUACCUGUUUAAAAAUUUUUUUUUAGUUCACCUGGGCCGAAGGUUCAAGUGAGCUUUUCUGAUCAAAAUUUGUUCGUUGUCUGUCGUCGGCGAAAACUUUUCACAUUUUCAUCUUCUCCAGAACCACUGGGUCAAUUUCAACCAAACUAAGUGACACAAAGCACCCUUGGGUGAAAGGCUUUCAAGUUUGUUCAAAUGAAGGGCCAUGCCCCUUCAAAGGGGAGAUAAUC
Long non-coding RNA from Ostrea edulis (European flat oyster), 797 nucleotides. RefSeq lists it as uncharacterized. The record is from RefSeq and is a predicted model, not a curated record. Lineage: Eukaryota; Metazoa; Mollusca; Bivalvia; Ostreida; Ostreidae. The transcript has 2 exons.